GCGGAGGAAAAGAAACCAACAGGGAUUGCCCCAGUAACGGCGAGUGAAGCGGCAACAGCUCAAAUUUGAAAUCUGGCCCUAGGCCCGAGUUGUAAUUUGCAGAGGAUGCUUUUGGCGCGGUGCCUUCCGAGUUCCCUGGAACGGGACGCCAUAGAGGGUGAGAGCCCCGUACGGUUGGACACCAAGUCUUUGUAAAGCUCCUUCGACGAGUCGAGUAGUUUGGGAAUGCUGCUCAAAAUGGGAGGUAUAUUUCUUCUAAAGCUAAAUAUUGGCCAGAGACCGAUAGCGCACAAGUAGAGUGAUCGAAAGAUGAAAAGCACUUUGAAAAGAGGGUUAAACAGCACGUGAAAUUGUUAAAAGGGAAGCGCUUGUGACCAGACUUGCGUCCGGUGAAUCACCCAGCUCUCGCGGCUGGGGCAUUUUGCCGGCUCAGGCCAGCAUCAGCUUGCCGUCGGGGACAAAAGCUUCGGGAACGUAGCUCUCUUCGGGGAGUGUUAUAGCCCGUUGCAUAAUACCCUUCGGUGGGCUGAGGUACGCGCUCCGCAAGGAUGCUGGCGUAAUGGUCAUCAGCGACCCGUCUUGAACACGGACAAGGAGUCAACCUUAUGUGCGAGUGUUUGGGUGUUAAACCCCUACGCGUAAUGAAAGUGAACGCAGGUGAGAGCUUCGGCGCAUCAUCGACCGAUCCUGAUGUUCUCGGAUGGAUUUGAGUAAGAGCAUAUAGGGUUGGACCCGAAAGAAGGUGAACUAUGCGUGUAUAGGGUGAAGCCAGAGGAAAUCUGGUGGAGGCUCGCAGCGGUUCUGACGUGCAAAUCGAUCGUCAAAUAUGCGCAU
RNAcentral lists this small RNA (834 nucleotides) under Colletotrichum truncatum. RNAcentral's name for it is "eukaryotic LSU rRNA". It matches the Rfam family "Eukaryotic large subunit ribosomal RNA", at positions 50 to 918 of the family's 3401-position model. The record is from RNAcentral. Lineage: Eukaryota; Fungi; Ascomycota; Sordariomycetes; Glomerellales; Glomerellaceae.